CCACAUCUUUCACAGUUUCACUCGCUUCUCGCUGUUGCCAACUGUUGGCCGCCGGCCUUGCCAACUCUCGCUGCCCACCACAGCUAGGGCCCUCCAAGCCGCCACGCCGGGUGCCGGGUGUCUGCUGGUUUUGGCUGCUGGCUGCUGCCGCUUCUCCUCUCGCUGCCUUCUCCGCUCGUGCUACCUGCUGCCGUGCUGCGGACCACUGUUGCUGCCGCCGGCUCAUAAACUAAUCGGUGAACUGUUGUUGAAGCGCCGAAGGAGCAAGACUGCUGCAAGAGCAAGGUGACACUGGUGAAACAGAAAACCAUGGUCCAGGAGAGCAUAUCUGUAGUUAUUGGUUGUAGGCGUCUUUUGGUCAGUCCGGUGUAUUCCACAGUUGUGGCUAUGGAGCAUUUUUGGCCAGUUCCGUGUAUUCUACGGUUGUGGCUAUGGAGCACUGGAUAAUAGUAAUUAUCCACAAUAGCAGGUAUGUUGGUGUUACCAUGUAUCUGUGUAAACAUAAAUAGUGAGCAUUGGAUAAUAGUAGUAAUUAUAUGUUAUAA
Molecule: long non-coding RNA, 545 nt
Organism: Triticum aestivum (bread wheat)
Lineage: Eukaryota; Viridiplantae; Streptophyta; Magnoliopsida; Poales; Poaceae
Exons: 2
Source: RefSeq, a predicted model, not a curated record